This 478-nucleotide ribosomal RNA is filed under the name uncultured bacterium. RNAcentral describes it as "bacterial SSU rRNA". It matches the Rfam family "Bacterial small subunit ribosomal RNA", at positions 35 to 507 of the family's 1533-position model. The record is from RNAcentral.
GCUGGCGGCAGGCUUAACACAUGCAAGUCGGGCGGUAGCAGAUCUAGCUUGCUAGAUGCUGACGAGCGGCGGACGGGUGAGUAACGCGUAGGAACCUGCCCAGUAGUGGGGGGAUAGCCCGGGGAAACUCGGAUUAAUACCGCAUACGCUCUACGGAGGAAAGAGGGGGCUUCGGCUCUCGCUAUUGGAUGGGCCUGCGUGAGAUUAGCUAGUUGGUGAGGUAAUGGCUCACCAAGGCGACGAUCUCUAGCUGGUCUGAGAGGAUGAUCAGCCACACUGGGACUGAGACACGGCCCAGACUCCUACGGGAGGCAGCAGUGGGGAAUAUUGCACAAUGGGCGCAAGCCUGAUGCAGCCAUGCCGCGUGUGUGAAGAAGGCUUUCGGGUUGUAAAGCACUUUCAGUGGGGAGGAAGGCCUCGUAGUUAAUAGCUGCGAGGAUUGACGUUACCCACAGAAGAAGCACCGGCUAACUCCGUG